CAGGGCAUGCUUGAUAACCACGGCCUUAAAGCCGAGCCCCUUCAGGCGGGCGGUGCGGAUAUAUUGCUGCGUCAUCACCUCGACCAUCGAGGCCCGCGUCAUGCGCGCAAUAUAACCGAUGCCGUAUAUGGCCAUGGUCAUGACCGGCAAAGUGAAAUUGUAGAAGG
RNAcentral lists this non-coding RNA (167 nucleotides) under uncultured Nitratireductor sp. Its description in RNAcentral is "Ruegeria cis52 sRNA". It matches the Rfam family "Ruegeria cis52 sRNA". Rfam says of the family: Cis-encoded. Targets oligo/dipeptide ABC transporter. Functions in transport. Lineage: Bacteria; Pseudomonadati; Pseudomonadota; Alphaproteobacteria; Hyphomicrobiales; Phyllobacteriaceae. The record is from RNAcentral.